RNAcentral lists this ribosomal RNA (460 nucleotides) under uncultured bacterium. Its description in RNAcentral is "partial 16S ribosomal RNA". It matches the Rfam family "Bacterial small subunit ribosomal RNA", at positions 338 to 795 of the family's 1533-position model. The record is from RNAcentral.
CCUACGGGGGGCAGCAGUGAGGAAUAUUGGUCAAUGGGCGCGAGCCUGAACCAGCCAAGUAGCGUGAAGGAUGACUGCCCUACGGGUUGUAAACUUCUUUUAUAAAGGAAUAAAGUGAGGCACGUGUGCCUUUUUGUAUGUACUUUAUGAAUAAGGAUCGGCUAACUCCGGGCCAGCAGCCGCGGUAAUACGGAGGAUCCGAGCGUUGUCCGGAUUUAUUGGGUUUAAAGGGAGCGUAGAUGGGUUUUUAAGUCAGUUGUGAAAGUUUGCGGCUCAACCGUAAGAUUGCAAUUGAUACUGGCAGCCUUGAGUACAGUUGAGGUAGGCGGAAUUCGUGGUGUAGCGGUGAAAUGCUUAGAUAUCACGAAGAACUCCGAUGGCGAAGGCAGCCUACUAAACUGCCACUGACAUUGAUGCUCGAAAGUGUGGGUAGCAAACAGGAUUAGAUACCCUUGUAGUC